Molecule: ribosomal RNA, 236 nt
Filed under: uncultured bacterium
Lineage: Bacteria
Description: partial 16S ribosomal RNA
Rfam family: Bacterial small subunit ribosomal RNA
Source: RNAcentral
ACGGGUGAGUAACACGUAUGCAAUCCACCUGUAACAGGGGGAUAACCCGGAGAAAUCCGGACUAAUACCCCAUAAUAUGGGCGCUCCGCAUGGAGAGCCCAUUAAAGAGAGCAAUUUUGGUUACAGACGAGCAUGCGCUCCAUUAGCCAGUUGGCGGGGUAACGGCCCACCUAGUCUUCGAUGGAUAGGGGUUCUGAGAGGAAGGUCCCCCACACUGGAACUGAGACACGGUCCAG